RNAcentral lists this non-coding RNA (148 nucleotides) under Chlorocebus sabaeus (green monkey). The record is from Rfam by way of RNAcentral. Lineage: Eukaryota; Metazoa; Chordata; Mammalia; Primates; Cercopithecidae.
GCUGGGCACAGUGGCAUGUGCCUGUAAUCCCAGCUACUCAGGAGGCUGAGGUGGAAGAAUCGCUUGACCCUGGGAGACUGAGGUUGCAGUGAGCCGAAAUCGCACCACUGCACCCCAGCCUGGGUGACAGAGUGAGACUCCAUCUCAA